GAGAGUAGGGUUACUAUAUUCUUAUAAGUAUAGAGUGUAAUAUACCAGAUUUUUAAUAUAAAAGUAAGUGUAAAUAAAAAUAGUGUAAGAUACUAUUUUUAUUGGACUUAGAGAAGUAAAAUAUAAGUCGGAAAUGACUUAUGUUGAAAUUGGAAUGGAAACAGAAGAUUUAAAAUUUUCUGUAAGAAACGGGGCUGAUAUUUUAGCAGAAAAUUAUAAAAAUUGGAGAAUAUGUCGGAAUUAUUUUUAUGAGGCGAGAUUUAAAGUUUCAUGUCAUUCCGACACCCGAAAACUAGAAAAUAAAAUCUGACUGCUAUCUGCUACAGAUUCGGGUCGGUAGAGCUUUUGGUGACAAAAAAUGGUCCAAACUGAAAAGUUAAGAUAUCGUUCUUCUUAUUAAUUUUAACCGAGCCUAACUGUUAAAUUUGAAAGCAAACGGAUAUUCAGAAGGGCUCCGACAAGAGUAUCAGAUUUUGAAUUGCUAAACUGAAAAUUUUAUUAGUGUUGGGGGACCAAAAUGUGACGAUAAUCCCAGCUUUUGUGAGGGGGUUUUUGGCAAUUGUUUGAACUUAUCCUUUAACCCCAGCACCUCAGCCCUUCCAUAUGUAUUAGACCCUCUCUCCUCACCUUUUCGUUUGUUUCUUUCUUACUCUCUUUCUCUUUAAACCCUAAAGU
RNAcentral lists this long non-coding RNA (675 nucleotides) under Ananas comosus (pineapple). Its description in RNAcentral is "long non-coding RNA (ACOM_LNC029589)". The record is from RNAcentral. Lineage: Eukaryota; Viridiplantae; Streptophyta; Magnoliopsida; Poales; Bromeliaceae.